ACAACCCAAGAGGGGGGGUGAAUUGUGUUUUCUAAAAAUUAUGUUCCCUAAUUUUUACUUUGAAUAGAAUGCAGCGGAAUAAUAAGAUGUUAUUUACUUAAGCUCUAGGCAAUUACCAGUAAAGCAGUGGAAGAUUAAGCUAGAGCAAUUAUACUAUGGCUUUAGGGUGCAAUUGAUCUAAAAAUAACUUAUAGUUGUAUGAUCAAUUUUAAUCUAUGUGUAUGGUAAGAAUGGAGUGGAAGCUAAGCAAAUCACUUAUAACUCUAUAGAAAACAAAGCUAGAGAUAUUACACAAUCAAGCAUGAAUGGAAGGCAUGAAAUACAAGAGAUAAGGCAUCACAAACACAAAGAUGUAUAGUAGUUCGGUGCACCCCAGCACCUACAU
RNAcentral lists this long non-coding RNA (385 nucleotides) under Phoenix dactylifera (date palm). RNAcentral's name for it is "long non-coding RNA (PDAC_LNC017214)". Lineage: Eukaryota; Viridiplantae; Streptophyta; Magnoliopsida; Arecales; Arecaceae. The record is from RNAcentral.